RNAcentral lists this non-coding RNA (47 nucleotides) under Echinostoma caproni. Lineage: Eukaryota; Metazoa; Platyhelminthes; Trematoda; Plagiorchiida; Echinostomatidae. The record is from RNAcentral.
GCACUGCUGACGAGUCUCACAAACAGGACGAAACAGCUGUCCAGUGC